UAAUUAUGAAGGGUAUUUUUAGAUGAAAAAGUAAAAGUAGGGUAGUUUUGCUUCAUUAUAAUAGAUUAAGAGUAAUUUUUUACUCGUUUCCCAAAAUCAAAGGGUGAAUUGGGAAACAAAAAAAAUAAAAAAAAAUCAGACUAACUAACACUAUAUAACUAACUAUUCGUUCGUCUUCUUCUUCAUUCCUAAAGCAUUCAAAAUUUGGUCGCAUAGAAAUUGAAGAAAUAUCAGAGAACAACAUGACAUAUUGAAACCAGCAUUGGUGAGAGGAGACAUAUCCUUUGUAAUUGGUGACACUCUCUGGCAAAGUUUUAGCCAAUACAUAGUAGGGAAUGAACCAGGUGAUGAGGUGCAUGCAUUUGCUUGGAACAAAAUUACAUAUUAUUUUUUUCCGAAAAGAUGAUCAUUUGUUUUCAAACUAGGGUCGACAAAUCAAAAUUCAUAUAGAUGGUGAUUUUUCUGCCAAUUUUUAUGGAACAUCUCGUGCUUUAGCGCAUCUAGUUCUUUUUGUUUCGAUUAUUUUUACUGAUUUGUUUAUUAUUUCCUUCUAUUCAGACAAGUGCAAAUUGAAUUGAACAAAAGGAAUGCUUUGCUUA
This is a long non-coding RNA of Solanum lycopersicum (tomato), 599 nucleotides long. RefSeq lists it as uncharacterized. The record is from RefSeq and is a predicted model, not a curated record. NCBI's taxonomy places the organism in Eukaryota, Viridiplantae, Streptophyta, Magnoliopsida, Solanales, Solanaceae.